CUAGUCUUAUCGGUGGAUCACUCGGCUCGUGGAUCGAUGAAGAAACGCAGCCAACUGCGAUAAUUAGUGCGAACUGCAGAAACCUUGAACACAAAACAUUCGAAUGCACAUUGCGCCAUUGGAGUUACAUCCAUUGGCACGCCUGGUUCAGGGUCGUUA
RNAcentral lists this ribosomal RNA (159 nucleotides) under Heterodera glycines (soybean cyst nematode). Its description in RNAcentral is "5.8S ribosomal RNA". It matches the Rfam family "5.8S ribosomal RNA". Rfam says of the family: 5.8S ribosomal RNA (5.8S rRNA) is a component of the large subunit of the eukaryotic ribosome. It is transcribed by RNA polymerase I as part of the 45S precursor that also contains 18S and 28S rRNA. Functionally, it is thought that 5.8S rRNA may be involved in ribosome translocation. Lineage: Eukaryota; Metazoa; Nematoda; Chromadorea; Rhabditida; Heteroderidae. The record is from RNAcentral.